This 45-nucleotide non-coding RNA is filed under the name Schistosoma margrebowiei. The record is from RNAcentral. Lineage: Eukaryota; Metazoa; Platyhelminthes; Trematoda; Strigeidida; Schistosomatidae.
AUCCAGCUGGUGAGUCGUAAAUAGGACGAAACGCGCGUCCUGGAU